RNAcentral lists this ribosomal RNA (337 nucleotides) under uncultured Lachnospiraceae bacterium. RNAcentral's name for it is "bacterial SSU rRNA". It matches the Rfam family "Bacterial small subunit ribosomal RNA", at positions 355 to 708 of the family's 1533-position model. Lineage: Bacteria; Bacillati; Bacillota; Clostridia; Lachnospirales; Lachnospiraceae. The record is from RNAcentral.
GGGGGAAUAUUGCACAAUGGAGGAAACUCUGAUGCAGCGACGCCGCGUGAGUGAAGAAGUAUUUCGGUAUGUAAAGCUCUAUCAGCAGGGAAGACAGUGACGGUACCUGACUAAGAAGCUCCGGCUAAAUACGUGCCAGCAGCCGCGGUAAUACGUAUGGAGCAAGCGUUAUCCGGAUUUACUGGGGUGUAAAGGGAGUGUAGGUGGUAUCACAAGUCAGAAGUGAAAGCCCGGGGCUCAACCCCGGGACUGCUUUUGAAACUGUGGAACUGGAGUGCAGGAGAGGUAAGUGGAAUUCCUAGUGUAGCGGUGAAAUGCGUAGAUAUUAGGAGGAACA